Molecule: non-coding RNA, 97 nt
Organism: Turdus rufiventris (rufous-bellied thrush)
Lineage: Eukaryota; Metazoa; Chordata; Aves; Passeriformes; Turdidae
Source: the annotation of a GenBank genome assembly
AGUUCCGUACAAAAAGUAAUUUAGUUUGUAACACAUUUGCAGUGUUCUGAAUAUUUUAGGGAGAGGAAGGAUGAAACUGCGAUUCUUUUUGGUUUUG